UGGGGAAUAUUGGACAAUGGGGGAAACCCUGAUCCAGCGACGCCGCGUGAGUGAAGAAGUAUUUCGGUAUGUAAGGCUCUAUCAGCAGGGAAGAAAAUGACGGUACCUGACUAAGAAGCCCCGGCUAACUACGUGCCAGCAGCCGCGGUAAUACGUAGGGGGCAAGCGUUAUCCGGAUUUACUGGGUGUAAAGGGAGCGCAGACGGCAAUGCAAGUCUGAAGUGAAAGGCGUGGGCUCAACCCAUGAACUGCUUUGGAAACUGUAUAGCUUGAGUGUCGGAGGGGUAAGCGGAAUUCCUAGUGUAGCGGUGAAAUGCGUAGAUAUUAGGAGGAACACCGGAGGCGAAGGCGGCUUACUGGACGACAACUGACGUUGAGGCUCGAAGGCGUGGGGAGCAAACAGGAUUAGAUACCCUGGUAGUCCACGCAGUAAACGAUGAAUACUUGGUGUCGGGGAGGUAAACUCUUCGGUGCCGCAAGCUAACGCAUUAAGUAUUCCACCUGGGGAGUACGUUCGCAAGAAUG
RNAcentral lists this ribosomal RNA (525 nucleotides) under uncultured bacterium. RNAcentral describes it as "bacterial SSU rRNA". It matches the Rfam family "Bacterial small subunit ribosomal RNA", at positions 355 to 896 of the family's 1533-position model. The record is from RNAcentral.